RNAcentral lists this ribosomal RNA (581 nucleotides) under Pseudomonas sp. CF9(2010). RNAcentral describes it as "bacterial SSU rRNA". It matches the Rfam family "Bacterial small subunit ribosomal RNA", at positions 48 to 624 of the family's 1533-position model. Lineage: Bacteria; Pseudomonadati; Pseudomonadota; Gammaproteobacteria; Pseudomonadales; Pseudomonadaceae. The record is from RNAcentral.
GCUAUACAUGCAAGUCGAGCGGUAGAGAGGUGCUUGCACCUCUUGAGAGCGGCGGACGGGUGAGUAAUACCUAGGAAUCUGCCUGAUAGUGGGGGAUAACGUUCGGAAACGGACGCUAAUACCGCAUACGUCCUACGGGAGAAAGCAGGGGACCUUCGGGCCUUGCGCUAUCAGAUGAGCCUAGGUCGGAUUAGCUAGUUGGUGAGGUAAUGGCUCACCAAGGCUACGAUCCGUAACUGGUCUGAGAGGAUGAUCAGUCACACUGGAACUGAGACACGGUCCAGACUCCUACGGGAGGCAGCAGUGGGGAAUAUUGGACAAUGGGCGAAAGCCUGAUCCAGCCAUGCCGCGUGUGUGAAGAAGGUCUUCGGAUUGUAAAGCACUUUAAGUUGGGAGGAAGGGCAUUAACCUAAUACGUUAGUGUCUUGACGUUACCGACAGAAUAAGCACCGGCUAACUCUGUGCCAGCAGCCGCGGUAAUACAGAGGGUGCAAGCGUUAAUCGGAAUUACUGGGCGUAAAGCGCGCGUAGGUGGUUUGUUAAGUUGAAUGUGAAAUCCCCGGGCUCAACCUGGGAACUGC